Molecule: ribosomal RNA, 397 nt
Filed under: uncultured bacterium
Lineage: Bacteria
Description: bacterial SSU rRNA
Rfam family: Bacterial small subunit ribosomal RNA
Source: RNAcentral
UAAUACGGGGGGUGCGAGCGUUGUUCGGAUUCACUGGGUAUAAAGGGUGCGCAGGCGGCUUGAUAAGUCAGAGGUGAAAUUCGUCGGCUCAACCGACGGACUGCCCCUGAAACUGUCUCGCUUGAGUCCGGGAGAGGAAGGUGGAAUUCCAGGUGUAGCGGUGAAAUGCGUAAAUAUCUGGAGGAACACCGGUGGCGAAGGCGGCCUUCUGGCCCGGAACUGACGCUCAGGCACGAAAGCUAGGGGAGCGAACGGGAUUAGAUACCCCGGUAGUCCUAGCCGUAAACGAUGGGUACUAGGUGUUGGAGGAUUCUACCCCUUCAGUGCCGCAGCUAAUGCAUUAAGUACCCCACCUGGGGAGUACGAUCGCAAGGUUGAAACUCAAAUGAAUUGACGG